RNAcentral lists this ribosomal RNA (354 nucleotides) under uncultured bacterium. RNAcentral describes it as "partial 16S ribosomal RNA". It matches the Rfam family "Bacterial small subunit ribosomal RNA", at positions 338 to 684 of the family's 1533-position model. The record is from RNAcentral.
CCUACGGGUGGCAGCAGUGGGGAAUAUUGCGCAAUGGGCGAAAGCCUGACGCAGCGACGCCGCGUGAGGGAUGAAGGUCUUCGGAUCAUAAACCUCUGUCAGCAGGGAAGAACGGUCACUGUGCUAAUCAGCAGUGAAUUGACGGUACCUGCAAAGGAAGCACCGGCUAACUCCGUGCCAGCAGCCGCGGUAAUACGGAGGGUGCGAGCGUUAAUCGGAAUUACUGGGCGUAAAGCGCUCGUAGGCGGUAUGUCAAGUCAAGGGUGAAAUCCCCGCGCUCAACGUGGGAACUGCCUUUGAACCGGGCAAACGGGAGUGUGUGAGAGGAUGGGGGAAUUCCAGGUGAAGGAGUGA